UUAAGGGAGACGGAUUUUAUUAUAAAUGUCUGGAUAAGGUCGUAGAGUAUACAACGAUUUAUGUUAAAAACAGGAUGGAUGCCCGCAGACUGAUUGAUUCCGGGAAAUAUGAAGAAGCAUGUGAGAAUCUGUGGAGAGAAAUCCGGGAGAAAACCGGAAACAUGGCUGAUAAUAUAUCUGGCAAAAGAAUACUGGUGAUCGGCACUGAGGAGUUUAUGUUCCCUGCACUUUAUAUCGGAAGAAAGAUGGAAAAAGAGGGAACCGAAGUAAGGUGCCAUUCGACUACAAGAAGUCCCAUUUAUGUAAGUCAGGAAAAAGAGUAUCCCAUUCACAGCAGAUAUGAACAGAAAAGUAUAUAUGAUCCGGACAGGAGAACGUUUAUUUACGAUAUAGGAAAAUAUGACAAGGUAUUGAUUGUCACAGAUUCCCCGGAAAUAAAGGAGAGUCAGGAAACGCUGAUAAAUGCUGUCCGGAUGCAGAACAAGGAUAUUACAGUUGUAAGGUGGUGCUGAUUUGAGAAGUUCCUAUUCAGAAGAAGAUGUGAUUUUAUUAUUGAAGGAUAUUACCGGGUGACUCCGUAACUUCGGGAGAAGGAGUGCCCCUGGCGGUGACGGGACUAGCUCCCCGAGCGGCCGGGGGUCGCAGCGAAACGGCCCAAGCGACUGUUUAUCAAAAACACAGGACUCUGCAAAGCCGUAAGGCGACGUAUAGGGUCUGACGCCUGCCCGGUGCUGGAAGGUUACGCGGAUGGGUCAGCCGCAAGGCGAAGCUCUGAAGCCAAGCCCCAGUAAACGGCGGCCGUAACUAUAACGGUCCUAAGGUAGCGAAAUUCCUUGUCGGGUAAGUUCCGACCUGCACGAAUGGCGUAACGAUUUGGGCGCUGUCUCAACCAUGGACCCGGUGAAAUUGUAUUAUUCGUGAAGAUGCGAAUUACCUGCGGAAGGACGGAAAGACCCCGUGAACCUUUACUGCAGCUUGACAUUGAUCGUUGGCUCGGCGCGUAGAGGAUAGGCAGGAGGCUGCGAAGCCCGGGCGCCAGCCCGGGCGGAGCCGACCUUGGAAUACUGCCCUCGUCGCGUCGGCGAUCUAACCCCCGGCCGUGAUCCGGCGGGGGGACCGUGUCAGGCGGGUAGUUUGACUGGGGCGGUCGCCUCCCAAAACGUAACGGAGGCGCGCAAAGGUCCGCUCAGAACGGUCGGCAACCGUUCGCAGAGCGCAAGAGUACAAGCGGGCUUGACUGCGAGGCCCACAAGCCGAGCAGAGACGAAAGUCGGUUCUAGUGAUCCGGCGGCACAGAGUGGAAUGGCCGUCGCUCAACGGAUAAAAGGUACUCCGGGGAUAACAGGCUGAUCUUGCCCAAGAGUCCACAUCGACGGCAAGGUUUGGCACCUCGAUGUCGGCUCAUCGCAUCCUGGGGCUGAAGUCGGUCCCAAGGGUAUGGCUGUUCGCCAUUUAAAGAGGUACGUGAGCUGGGUUCAGAACGUCGUGAGACAGUUCGGUCCCUAUCCUCCGCAGGCGCAAGAGGAUUGAGGAGGUCUGCCCCUAGUACGAGAGGACCGGGGUGGACGGACCUCUGGUGCAGCAGUUGUCGACCAACGGCACGGCUGCCUAGCUACGUCCGGCACGGAUAACCGCUGAAAGCAUCUAAGUGGGAAGCCGUCUCCAAGAUGAGUCCUCUUUCCGGUAAGGGCCCAGGCAGAACACCUGGUCGAUAGGCCGCAGGUGCAAGGCGUGCGAGCGCCUCAGCCGAGCGGUACUAAUAGCCCGAGCUCUUCUUCC
RNAcentral lists this ribosomal RNA (1779 nucleotides) under human gut metagenome. RNAcentral's name for it is "bacterial LSU rRNA". The stretch from base 311 to 1779 matches the Rfam family "Bacterial large subunit ribosomal RNA". The record is from RNAcentral.